This 75-nucleotide transfer RNA is filed under the name Nitrospirae bacterium RBG_16_43_8. RNAcentral describes it as "tRNA-Thr". It matches the Rfam family "tRNA". Rfam says of the family: Transfer RNA (tRNA) molecules are approximately 80 nucleotides in length. The record is from RNAcentral. Lineage: Bacteria; Pseudomonadati; Nitrospirota.
GCCGGGGUAGCUCAGUGGUAGAGCAGCUGAUUCGUAAUCAGCAGGUCGUGGGUUCGACUCCCACCCUCGGCUCCA